RNAcentral lists this long non-coding RNA (1660 nucleotides) under Malus domestica (apple). Its description in RNAcentral is "long non-coding RNA (MDOM_LNC017739)". The record is from RNAcentral. Lineage: Eukaryota; Viridiplantae; Streptophyta; Magnoliopsida; Rosales; Rosaceae.
AAUUAAACACUAGGAACUGAAAUGGACGGAAAUUAAAUUAAAGACUAACAAUAAAGAAAACUAACUAAAUAAUAUAAUUUAAUAAUGGGUGGGUGUUUGGUUUUGACGAGAACUAAAUUAAACUUAAAUAAAUUACAGAAUUGACAAAAACAUGAAAUUAAGGUGAAAUGAUAGGUGACAGACUAGCUAGAGGGUUCUUCUCCACACAUGACACAUAUGCAACCUAAAUUGAUUUUCAGUUGUUCUUUCAAUAAAUUGUAAAUCUCAACGCCCCAAAUUAACCAUGAAUUGCAUAAAUUAAUUCUCAGAUUUUCCUUAAGUUAAUGGAUUGGAUGAUUGCAUACGACAACCCAAAACAUUUCCUACAAGUUCCCUACAUGAAUUGCAUAAUAGAGAACAAGCAAGAAUCAUUAAGUUCUAUGAAAAACAUAAACAUUGACUAGGCAUUCAUAACUAUGGAAUACGCAUGUUAAUCCAGCCUAGAAUUUACUUAACGCGAUCGUUUAUAAGCGACCUCCACUACUUGUGAAUAUAAGUUCAUAACGAUUAGGUGAAAUUCACUUAUAUUCUAGCAUCAAAUUCAUGCAUGUAAAUUAAGCAUGCAUUCUUAAUCGACAUACAAAAAUAAGUUAUCAAUCAAGCAGUUAAGCAAAUUAAAUCACAACUCAGAAAUCACAACUGAAGGUAAUCAAUUCAUAUUACAAAUAUAUACAUGGUUUCGAAUCAACCUCUAGCCAAACUAAAAUUAGUUACACAUUAUUAAAACACAAAUAAAAUAUAAGUUGGAAGGAAGUAACCGGAGGAUAAAGGAGUUUUUUUCUUCUGUCCGUGGCUUCUGUUUCUGUCCCUCGCACGAGAUACCCACGCUGCCCAAGUGGCAGCUUAUUCCCCCAAUCCCGUGCUUGGUCUCUGUGCUCACCGCUGACAGUCUCUCCCUCCUUCUUUUCCACGUUGCCCGUCUCCUGCUCUCUGCUGCAAAGGCAGCCCUCUGCUUCUUUCUCUCACGCUGCCCCAAGCAGCUUUCUUCUUCCUUUCGGUCCUCUUCCCUGUCCCCCUUCUAUUUCUCCUUCUGAUUCUUCUUUCAUUUCUUUUGUUUAUUCCUUCCACAUUUCCCUGUCUCCCACUUAUUCUUCAUAUAUUUCUUAUUUUUCCACUUGCUGUCAUGCAUUCCAUUUUCUUUUAUUCUUUCCUAGCAGUCGUGCUCUCCCACUCCCUCUAACCUACUCUCCCUCUUAUUCUUCUUUCAUCUAUUUUUUAUUCCUUUCCUUUUUUUAUUCCUUUCUUUUCUUCUUCUCCAUCCGUUCCUUUCUUUUCUUCUACAAAACAAAACCAUCAUGUGAUGUUUCAAACAUCAUGAUGACUUAUCAUUAUUAUAUAUAUAUAUUUUUUUAAUUUUAUUUAAAAGCUGAUCUACACAGACAGUUUUGACGAAUUUAUUACAUAAAAUUUCACUUGUUCUAUUUUUAUUUUCUUUGCAUAACAAAUCCUAUAAACACAAAAAUAACGUAAAUAACUCAAAAAUAUAAGGAACUAACUAAGAAAAGACGAGUGAAUUCGAAGUAAAAAUAUAUAUAAAUAUGAUCCGAUCAGGAACCUGGAUGCUUGAGAGCUUCGGAGUUUCAGAGCUUCAGAGCUUCAAGGUGUAAUAUGAAUUGGUUCC